CAGCAUCCCUAUGCUUAACAAUGGUGGUGGGGGUACUAGAGCUAAAGCUCAAGCUUGAAUGAGUUUAAGUUCAAGAGCCCUUGCUGCCAUUUUUAAGCAUGGGAAUGCUGAUACAGGAGAUGUGGCAGAACUUUAGUUAGAGCACCCCCACCCGAGCACAUGUAAAUGUGCCCAGAGGUACUAGAUUUAAUGCACAUCAACUAAGGUGCCCCCUAGUAGGGGCUGAAAUAUUAACCAAAACGUGAAUUCACGGCAGCUGUCUUGGAUUCCAAUAUGGCAGCUAUGUACACUGCUUGCCAGAUUGGCAACAUGACUUUUUUGGCAUGGGCAAACCACCUCUACCUGAAACUAUGGAUGCUGCUUCUGGCAAUGAAUUGCCUAGGACAACAAAAUCUAGAAAGAUUAUGGGUCAGUUCAUACCCUACUAUCGAGGCAAACAGGUCUUUAUCUGCUCCCUGUUGUCUAGUGGUGGGGUACUGUAAUAGCCAUUGUCGUGGCAACUACGCCAGGGUAACUCUUUGUUUAUCUGCUCUAGAUGUGUGCCUGAGCCCAGAAGGCUCAUGGUUCAGGUACACCCUACUUUGACUCCCCAGACUCCUCAGCCUGAUUGCUCAGGCACCCAUUUACAGAUUGGGGCAGCUCUCCACACACCUGAAGAACAGAGCCAGGCCUCUACACAAACCUUCACAACUCUUCCACUGCCCUUGCAACACACCCAUCUUUAAUCGGACCAAUCCAUUCAUUGCACCAUUAGGUGCUGAACAACUGUUGCCACCCUCUCCUGGGCCCGUUCCUUUUACAGCCUGAGACCAAACAAGCUUUACUGGUUUUUCUUCCAAAGAAGUCAGAGAUGCCAGCUGAAAAAUUUCACAUCUGUUGUAUCCCCCCUUGAACAUGGGGAAACAGUGUCAUGGCCAUCAUAGAGGACAUUCCAGUUUUCUGUUACCUUGUCAUCUGUCCUCUACUGAUAUGAAACUCAACACCUUUAUGCUACACGGCCCUAGACUCACCUUUACCUCCCCAUGCUGCACACCUCACUGUCCCACUCCCUGGGGAUAGGGCAGGAAGUGGCAGGCAGAGAAGGCCCCAGCUGCUAUUGCAGACAGAGCAACAGUGGGAGCAGCAGCUAAGCAGGUCCCCAGGAUCUGCAACUUAACCCCUACAACUUCCACAUCUUGCAUUAAAGUCUGCUAGUUCCUGGUGUUCAGCAUGUGACCAGUCCAGUCCUUUUCUCUUGAAGAGAAAAAUAGAGGACAUAAAGGCGUCCGGUUUUGUAGCAAUAGAGGACAGAGGACAACUGGAUUGUCCUCUGUGAUGGCCACCCUAGGGAUCUUCAGGGAUGACCGACACUGAAAAGGCUGUUUCCAGUAGAGGUGCAUCGAUACAUCAGUCCGAUAUCAGAUUGGCACCAAUAUAAAGAAAAUUGAUUAUAUCGGAAAUUGGCAUUAUGUGGCCAAUAAUUUGGCCAAUAAAUGCCUGUGCAUGUGCACAGCCACAGUGUAGU
Long non-coding RNA from Alligator sinensis (Chinese alligator), 1504 nucleotides. RefSeq lists it as uncharacterized. The record is from RefSeq and is a predicted model, not a curated record. NCBI's taxonomy places the organism in Eukaryota, Metazoa, Chordata, Crocodylia, Alligatoridae. The transcript is spliced from 3 exons.